This 963-nucleotide long non-coding RNA is filed under the name Pandoravirus salinus. RNAcentral's name for it is "putative ncRNA". The record is from RNAcentral.
CCGACGCCGGGUCGAGCGUGGCGCGACAUGCCGCCGCCAUGGUGCGGCUCGUGAGCAGCAGCGCCAUCCAGUCACCGGGAUGGGCGCGAAACAGACUCACGAUCCGACACACCAUUUCUGUCGGCAAAGCGUCGGUGAGCGCUGGGUGCUCGUCGCCAUCGGCGCAAUCCAUCGCACGCACUCCGUUGGUGCAAUUUGGCGUCUCCUUGCGUCCUAACGGCGCACCUUGGCGGUCAACGCGCGUCGGUUGUCUGACCUGGCGGCGUCCUCUCUCCCGCGAUCUCUGCUGCGGCCCGAGCGCGAUCGGCGGCGGCAGUGCAAAAAAGAAAGUCCAAGCGUACGCACGGACGGCUGCGAGGCGAAAAGGCAGGCGACGGCAGCGGCAGCGACACACCAAGAUGGAUCGGCAAUCGAUUUGGCAGACGGGCGAGCGAGCGAGCGCGAUCGAUCAGCCGGCGUCCUCCCUUUUGGCGUCGUGCGGGCUCGGUUUUUUCCCAGUCGGCCCCAUCAUUCAGCGUGCUGGGCGCACCAUGGCACCCGACGCGGCUCGUGACCCCCGGACGGGCGGGCGACAUCCCAGACGCUCGCGCGUGAUGAACCCUGGCUCACCCCUCCUCCCCUUGCCGUCUCGGCACUGCCACCCAAAUGUUUCCAUUGCCGACCCGCAUCGCCCCGCAGGACGAGAAAAAAACCUCGGCGUCGGUGCGACGCGCGCACGGCGGGCGGAUGCGGCGCGGACGAUCGUACAAGCGAGCCCUUUAGGUUUGCGUCCUGGCCUCGGCGCCCUUUCCUCCGCCGCCAACCCCCAUGUCGCGUCCUCCUUUUGAGCCUCCUUUGUUUUUUGGCGGUCGCACAUCCAAGGCACAGCCGACCGCCGCUGUUUUUUUUGUGGGACGCUCCAUGCCCUCUUUUUUUUGGCCCUCUGGAGCCACCGCCACGCUGCAGGAGCGCCCUUUGUUCGCC